Molecule: ribosomal RNA, 492 nt
Filed under: uncultured bacterium
Lineage: Bacteria
Description: partial 16S ribosomal RNA
Rfam family: Bacterial small subunit ribosomal RNA
Source: RNAcentral
AGUGAACGCUGGCGGUAGGCCUAACACAUGCAAGUCGAACGGCAGCACAGUAAGAGCUUGCUCUUACGGGUGGCGAGUGGCGGACGGGUGAGGAAUACAUCGGAAUCUACUUUUUCGUGGGGGAUAACGUAGGGAAACUUACGCUAAUACCGCAUACGACCUACGGGUGAAAGCAGGGGAUCUUCGGACCUUGCGCGAUUGAAUGAGCCGAUGUCGGAUUAGCUAGUUGGCGGGGUAAAGGCCCACCAAGGCGACGAUCCGUAGCUGGUCUGAGAGGAUGAUCAGCCACACUGGAACUGAGACACGGUCCAGACUCCUACGGGAGGCAGCAGUGGGGAAUAUUGGACAAUGGGCGCAAGCCUGAUCCAGCCAUACCGCGUGGGUGAAGAAGGCCUUCGGGUUGUGAAGCCCUUCUGUUGGGAAAGAAAAGCAGCAGGUUAAUACCCCGCUGUUCUGACGGUACCCAAAGAAUAAGCACCGGCUAACUUCGUG